Molecule: ribosomal RNA, 447 nt
Filed under: uncultured bacterium
Lineage: Bacteria
Description: bacterial SSU rRNA
Rfam family: Bacterial small subunit ribosomal RNA
Source: RNAcentral
GCCAGACUCCUACGGGAGGCAGCAGUGGGGAAUAUUGCACAAUGGGGGAAACCCUGAUGCAGCGACGCCGCGUGAGCGAUGAAGUAUUUCGGUAUGUAAAGCCCUAUCAGCAGGAAAGAAAAUGACGGUACCUGACUAAGAAGCCCCGGCUAACUACGUGCCAGCAGCCGCGGUAAUACGUAGGGGGCAAGCGUUAUCCGGAUUUACUGGGUGUAAAGGGAGCGUAGACGGCAGUGCAAGUCCGGGGUGAAAGCCCGGGGCUCAACCCUGGGACUGCUCUGGAAACUGUAAAGCUGGAGUGCGGGAGGGGCAGGCGGAAUUCCUGGUGUAGCGGUGAAAUGCGUAGAUAUCAGGAGGAACACCGGCGGCGAAGGCGGCCUGCUGGACCGCAACUGACGUUGAGGCUCGAAAGCGUGGGGAGCAAACAGGAUUAGAUACCCCCGUAGC